GCAAUUAUUUUAAGAGGACAUGAGAUUUGCUAUGAUGGCCCUAUGGAAGGAAUACACUACCCAGCCGAUGAAUCAGAAUGUACCUCAAAAGGAAUAACUCUUUCUGGCCAGGAGUACAGCUUGAGUUCCUCCAGAAUGAACUCAGGUUCAUUUGAACCUAUGAUACAUGCCCAGGGAGUUCAAGACAAG
Molecule: long non-coding RNA, 189 nt
Organism: Mastomys coucha (southern multimammate mouse)
Lineage: Eukaryota; Metazoa; Chordata; Mammalia; Rodentia; Muridae
Exons: 3
Source: RefSeq, a predicted model, not a curated record